RNAcentral lists this ribosomal RNA (465 nucleotides) under uncultured Klebsiella sp. Its description in RNAcentral is "bacterial SSU rRNA". It matches the Rfam family "Bacterial small subunit ribosomal RNA", at positions 338 to 795 of the family's 1533-position model. Lineage: Bacteria; Pseudomonadati; Pseudomonadota; Gammaproteobacteria; Enterobacterales; Enterobacteriaceae. The record is from RNAcentral.
CCUACGGGAGGCAGCAGUGGGGAAUAUUGCACAAUGGGCGCAAGCCUGAUGCAGCCAUGCCGCGUGUGUGAAGAAGGCCUUCGGGUUGUAAAGCACUUUCAGCGGGGAGGAAGGCGGUGAGGUUAAUAACCUCAUCGAUUGACGUUACCCGCAGAAGAAGCACCGGCUAACUCCGUGCCAGCAGCCGCGGUAAUACGGAGGGUGCAAGCGUUAAUCGGAAUUACUGGGCGUAAAGCGCACGCAGGCGGUCUGUCAAGUCGGAUGUGAAAUCCCCGGGCUCAACCUGGGAACUGCAUUCGAAACUGGCAGGCUAGAGUCUUGUAGAGGGGGGUAGAAUUCCAGGUGUAACGGCGAAAUGCGUAGAGGUCUGGAGGAAUACCGGUGGCGAAGGCGGCCCCCUGGACAAAGACUGACGCUCAGGUGCGAAAGCGUGGGGAGCAAACAGGAUUAGAUACCCGAGUAGUC